This is a non-coding RNA of Eragrostis curvula (weeping love grass), 73 nucleotides long. The record is from the annotation of a GenBank genome assembly. NCBI's taxonomy places the organism in Eukaryota, Viridiplantae, Streptophyta, Magnoliopsida, Poales, Poaceae.
GAUGAUGUAGUCUAGUGGUAAGACAAUAACCUUCAAAGCUAGAGGUCAUGAGUUGAAACCUCCAUCUUGCUUU